UUUCCGUUGGGGGAUAACGUAGGGAAAACUUACGCUAAUACCGCAUACGACCUACGGGUGAAAGCCGGGGACCUUCGGGCCUGGCGCGAAUGAAUGAGCCGAUGCCCGAUUAGCUAGUUGGCGGGGUAAGAGCCCACCAAGGCGACGAUCGGUAGCUGGUCUGAGAGGAUGAUCAGCCACACUGGAACUGAGACACGGUCCAGACUCCUACGGGAGGCAGCAGUGGGGAAUAUUGGACAAUGGGCGCAAGCCUGAUCCAGCCAUACCGCGUGGGUGAAGAAGGCCUUCGGGUUGUAAAGCCCUUUUGUUGGGAAAGAAAAGCAGUCGGUUAAUACCCGAUUGUUCUGACGGUACCCAAAGAAUAAGCACCGGCUAACUUCGUGCCAGCAGCCGCGGUAAUACGAAGGGUGCAAGCGUUACUCGGAAUUACUGGGCGUAAAGCGUGCGUAGGUGGUUGUUUAAGUCUGUCGUGAAAGCCCUGGGCUCAACCUGGGAAUUGCGAUGGAAACUGGGCGACUAGAGUGUGGCAGAGGAUAGUGGAAUUCCUGGUGUAGCAGUGAAAUGCGUAGAGAUCAGGAGGAACAUCCGUGGCGAUGCGACUGU
RNAcentral lists this ribosomal RNA (603 nucleotides) under Stenotrophomonas sp. Its description in RNAcentral is "bacterial SSU rRNA". It matches the Rfam family "Bacterial small subunit ribosomal RNA", at positions 131 to 728 of the family's 1533-position model. The record is from RNAcentral. Lineage: Bacteria; Pseudomonadati; Pseudomonadota; Gammaproteobacteria; Lysobacterales; Lysobacteraceae.